Armigeres subalbatus is the source of this 456-nucleotide long non-coding RNA. RefSeq lists it as uncharacterized. NCBI's taxonomy places the organism in Eukaryota, Metazoa, Arthropoda, Insecta, Diptera, Culicidae. The transcript has 3 exons. The record is from RefSeq and is a predicted model, not a curated record.
AAAAAAUGUUAAAUAUGUUAUCUUUCUUUUUUUCGCGCUAUGCUGACUUGCUGACAGCUCAAAACAAAACAAAGAAAAAAGUAAAUGCGUUUUGUUUCUGGAUCAAGUCUUGAUCGUCUUGAUGGUACUGCAUCUCAGAUUCGAUAGUGCACCUGAAUUUUGCGGUUUUUUCGGGAGUAGGCAAUAGAAGCUGCUGUAGACUUCGGUGGAAAAGUCUCGUAAAGCGAAAAAACGACGCGACGGUUGGCUGAGGCAGGAAAAACUGCUGCGCAGAAUGAAUUCGAGUCCGUUCCGGUCACGCUGGUUGCAUCCUGAGAAACCACGAUCCUGGAGACGGGCGCAGUCAGCCUGACGAUGGAACAGUGCAUGAAGAUGGAUACACCCAAGAUACGCAGGAUAGUUUUAGUUUAGUGAAGAGUUUUGUUGUUGGAUUAAAGGGAUCUCAGGUCGAUGGAU